AGUGGCGGACGGGUGAGGAAUGCGUCGGAAUCUGCCCAGUUGUGGGGGAUAACUAGCCGAAAGGUUAGCUAAUACCGCAUACGACCGAGAGGUGAAAGCGGGGGACCGUAAGGCCUCGCGCGAUUGGAUGAGCCGACGCCGGAUUAGCUUGUUGGUAGGGUAAAGGCCUACCAAGGCGACGAUCCGUAGCUGGUCUGAGAGGAUGAUCAGCCACACUGGAACUGAGACACGGUCCAGACUCCUACGGGAGGCAGCAGUGGGGAAUAUUGGACAAUGGGCGCAAGCCUGAUCCAGCAAUGCCGCGUGUGUGAAGAAGGCCCUCGGGUUGUAAAGCACUUUUGUCCGGAACGAAAAGCGAUGGAUUAAUACUCUGUCGUGCUGACGGUACCGGGUGAAUAAGCACCGGCUAACUUCGUGCCAGCAGCCGCGGUAAUACGAAGGGUGCAAGCGUUAAUCGGAAUUACUGGGCGUAAAGCGUGCGUAGAUGGCUGAUUAAGUCGGAUGUGAAAGCCCCGGGCUCAACUUGGGAAUGGCAUCCGAUACUGGUUGGCUAGAGUGCGGUAGAGGAGAGCGGAAUUCCUGGUGUAGCGGUGAAAUGCGUAGAGAUCGGGAGGAACAUCUGUGGCGAAGGCGGCUCUCUGGACUAGCACUGACGUUGAGGCACGAAAGCGUGGGGAGCAAACAGGAUUAGAUAUCCUGGUAGUCCACGCCCUAAACGAUGUCGACUGGA
This 730-nucleotide ribosomal RNA is filed under the name uncultured bacterium. RNAcentral describes it as "bacterial SSU rRNA". It matches the Rfam family "Bacterial small subunit ribosomal RNA", at positions 94 to 820 of the family's 1533-position model. The record is from RNAcentral.